Molecule: ribosomal RNA, 253 nt
Filed under: uncultured bacterium
Lineage: Bacteria
Description: partial 16S ribosomal RNA
Rfam family: Bacterial small subunit ribosomal RNA
Source: RNAcentral
UACAGAGGGGGCAAGCGUUGUUCGGAAUUACUGGGCGUAAAGGGCGCGUAGGCGGCCUUCUAAGUCGAACGUGAAAUCCCUGGGCUCAACCCAGGAACUGCGUCCGAUACUGGGAGGCUUGAAUCCGGGAGAGGGAUGCAGAAUUCCAGGUGUAGCGGUGAAAUGCGCAGAUAUCAGGAGGAACACCGGUGGCGAAGGCGGGUCUCUGGGCAGUAACUGACGCUGAGGAGCGAAAGCGUGGGGAGCGAACAGG